GCGCCUGUAGCUCAGCUGGAUAGAGCGUCUGGCUACGAACCAGAAGGUCGGGAGUUCGAGUCUCUCCAGGCGCGCCA
Molecule: transfer RNA, 77 nt
Filed under: Acidobacteriota bacterium
Lineage: Bacteria; Pseudomonadati; Acidobacteriota
Also listed under: 4 other names
Description: tRNA-Arg
Rfam family: tRNA
About the family: Transfer RNA (tRNA) molecules are approximately 80 nucleotides in length. Their secondary structure includes four short double-helical elements and three loops (D, anti-codon, and T loops).
Source: RNAcentral